AACGAACGCUGGCGGCAUGCCUAACACAUGCAAGUCGAACGAGACCUUCGGGUCUAGUGGCGCACGGGUGCGUAACGCGUGGGAACCUGCCCUUAGGUUCGGGAUAACUCCCCGAAAGGGGUGCUAAUACCGGAUAAUGUCUUCGGACCAAAGAUUUAUCGCCUUUGGAUGGGCCCGCGUUGGAUUAGCUAGUUGGUAGGGUAAAAGCCUACCAAGGCGACGAUCCAUAGCUGGUCUGAGAGGAUGAUCAGCCACACUGGGACUGAGACACGGCCCAGACUCCUACGGGAGGCAGCAGUGGGGAAUAUUGGACAAUGGGCGAAAGCCUGAUCCAGCAAUGCCACGUGAGUGAUGAAGGCCUUAGGGUUGUAAAGCUCUUUUACCCGGGAUGAUAAUGACAGUACCGGGAGAAUAAGCUCCGGCUAACUCCGUG
RNAcentral lists this ribosomal RNA (433 nucleotides) under uncultured bacterium. Its description in RNAcentral is "partial 16S ribosomal RNA". It matches the Rfam family "Bacterial small subunit ribosomal RNA", at positions 29 to 507 of the family's 1533-position model. The record is from RNAcentral.